GAACGCUGGCGGCGUGCCUAAUACAUGCAAGUUGAGCGCUGAAGGUUGGUACUUGUACCGACUGGAUGAGCAGCGAACGGGUGAGUAACGCGUGGGGAAUCUGCCUCUGAGCGGGGGACAACAUUUGGAAACGAAUGCUAAUACCGCAUAAAAACUUUAAACACAAGUUUUAAGUUUGAAAGAUGCAAUUGCAUCACUCAAAGAUGAUCCCGCGUUGUAUUAGCUAGUUGGUGAGGUAAAGGCUCACCAAGGCGAUGAUACAUAGCCGACCUGAGAGGGUGAUCGGCCACAUUGGGACUGAGACACGGCCCAAACUCCUACGGGAGGCAGCAGUAGGGAAUCUUCGGCAAUGGACGAAAGUCUGACCGAGCAACGCCGCGUGAGUGAAGAAGGUUUUCGGAUCGUAAAACUCUGUUGGUAGAGAAGAAUGUUGGUGAGAGUGGAAAGCUCAUCAAGUGACGGUAACUACCCAGAAAGGGACGGCUAACUACGUGCCAGCCGCCGCGGUAAUUC
This 513-nucleotide ribosomal RNA is filed under the name Lactococcus sp. enrichment culture clone R_8m3_OTU6. RNAcentral describes it as "bacterial SSU rRNA". It matches the Rfam family "Bacterial small subunit ribosomal RNA", at positions 31 to 526 of the family's 1533-position model. The record is from RNAcentral. Lineage: Bacteria; Bacillati; Bacillota; Bacilli; Lactobacillales; Streptococcaceae.